RNAcentral lists this unclassified non-coding RNA (265 nucleotides) under uncultured fungus. RNAcentral describes it as "partial contains 18S rRNA, ITS1, 5.8S rRNA, ITS2 and 28S rRNA". The record is from RNAcentral. Lineage: Eukaryota; Fungi.
AAGGAUCAUUAUUGAUUUUAUGGGAUGUGCUGGUCCAUUGGGCAAGUGCACUCCCAAUAAAACCAAUAUCCACCUGUGCACUCUCUGUAGGCAGGGCUUUGCCAAGUCCUGUCUAUGUUUCUUCACAAACACUAUUGAAAUAUCUGAAUGCUAUUUACAAUAAACAUAAUUGUAAUACAACUUUCAACAAUGGAUCUCUUGGUUCUCGCAUCGAUGAAGAACGCAGCGCGGACAGCAUCGAUGUGGAAGUAGAAGUCGUAACAAG